RNAcentral lists this ribosomal RNA (425 nucleotides) under uncultured bacterium. RNAcentral's name for it is "partial 16S ribosomal RNA". It matches the Rfam family "Bacterial small subunit ribosomal RNA", at positions 354 to 796 of the family's 1533-position model. The record is from RNAcentral.
GUGGGGAAUAUUGGACAAUGGGCGCAAGCCUGAUCCAGCCAUGCCGCGUGAGUGAUGAAGGCCUUAGGGUUGUAAAGCUCUUUCAAUAGGGAAGAUAAUGACGGUACCUACAGAAGAAGCCCCGGCUAACUUCGUGCCAGCAGCCGCGGUAAUACGAAGGGGGCUAGCGUUGUUCGGAUUUACUGGGCGUAAAGCGCACGUAGGCGGAUUGGUCAGUUAGAGGUGAAAUCCCGAAGCUCAACUUCGGAACUGCCUUUAAUACUGCCAGUCUCGAGUCCGGAAGAGGUGAGUGGAACUCCUAGUGUAGAGGUGGAAUUCGUAGAUAUUAGGAAGAACACCAGUGGCGAAGGCGGCUCACUGGUCCGGUACUGACGCUGAGGUGCGAAAGCGUGGGGAGCAAACAGGAUUAGAUACCCGAGUAGUCC